GUGAACCUGCGGAAGGAUCAUUGUCGAGACCCGAGGAUUCGAAGAACAAACUGACGGUAGAUAUGUCCAUCAAGUAUGCCGCUCCGGUGGGGUGUGUGUACACGAUUGGAUUCUAGAAAUAGCAUCCAGUCAUGGCCAUCCCUAUUCGGACGGAUUACGUCAUGCCGUUUCUCCCCCGUCUUACGGGGGGCUACGACGGACAAACCGGAAAAACUGGCACGGUACGUGUCAAGGAUCUUCAUUGUAGCCUCUCCGUUCAGCGUGGCGUCGGGUUUUUACGACUCUCGCCCGCUUGCGGGAGCUAUUGAAAAGUCAUAUCUAUGAUGACUCUCGGCAACGGAUAUCUAGGCUCUCGCAUCGAUGAAGAACGUAGCGAAAUGCGAUACUUGGUGUGAAUUGCAGAAUCCCGUGAACCAUCGAGUCUUUGAACGCAAGUUGCGCCCGAGACCUUCGGGUCGAGGGCACGCCUGCCUGGGAGCCAUGCCUCGUGUCGCUCCGUGGACCCGAAGCUCCGGCAUCGGGAUAGACGGAAGCGGAUAUUGGCAUACCGUGUCCUUCGUGGUGCGGUGUGCUGAAGAACGGGAUGCCAAUGUGGGGCACGACUAGUGGUGGAUGGACAGCUCUAUUGGCCGAGGCCGAUGUCGCUUCCCUCCCUUGGCAUCCAUCAGGCACGAUCCUUUCGACGAAGAAGGGAUCCUUGCCGCUCGCGUUGCGACCCCAGGUCAGGCGGG
This 731-nucleotide ribosomal RNA is filed under the name Gymnosiphon recurvatus. RNAcentral's name for it is "eukaryotic LSU rRNA". The stretch from base 326 to 481 matches the Rfam family "5.8S ribosomal RNA". The record is from RNAcentral. Lineage: Eukaryota; Viridiplantae; Streptophyta; Magnoliopsida; Dioscoreales; Burmanniaceae.